Molecule: ribosomal RNA, 425 nt
Filed under: uncultured bacterium
Lineage: Bacteria
Description: bacterial SSU rRNA
Rfam family: Bacterial small subunit ribosomal RNA
Source: RNAcentral
GAAUAUUGGACAAUGGGCGAAAGCCUGAUCCAGCAAUGCCGCGUGUGUGAAGAAGGCCUGCGGGUUGUAAAGCACUUUCAGUAGAGAAGAAAAGCCUACGGUUAAUAACCGUGAGUCUUGACGUAACCUACAGAAGAAGCACCGGCUAACUCCGUGCCAGCAGCCGCGGUAAUACGGAGGGUGCAAGCGUUAAUCGGAAUAACUGGGCGUAAAGCGCGCGUAGGUGGUUGAGUCAGUCAGAUGUGAAAGCCCCGGGCUUAACCUGGGAACUGCACCUGAUACUGCUUGACUAGAGUACGGUAGAGGGCAGUGGAAUUUCCUGUGUAGCGGUGAAAUGCGUAGAUAUAGGAAGGAACACCAGUGGCGAAGGCGACUGCCUGGACUGAUACUGACACUGAGGUGCGAAAGCGUGGGUAGCAAACAGG